CAGCCGCCGCGGUAACACGUAGGUCCCGAGCGUUGUCCGGAUUUAUUGGGCGUAAAGCGAGCGCAGGCGGUUUGAUAAGUCUGAAGUUAAAGGCUGUGGCUCAACCAUAGUUCGCUUUGGAAACUGUCAAACUUGAGUGCAGAAGGGGAGAGUGGAAUUCCAUGUGUAGCGGUGAAAUGCGUAGAUGUAUGGAGGAACACCGGUGGCGAAAGCGGCUCUCUGGUCUGUAACUGACGCUGAGGCUCGAAAGCGUGGGGAGCGAACAGGAUUAGAUACCCCGGUAGUCCCUGUCUCUUAUACA
Molecule: ribosomal RNA, 301 nt
Filed under: uncultured bacterium
Lineage: Bacteria
Description: partial 16S ribosomal RNA
Rfam family: Bacterial small subunit ribosomal RNA
Source: RNAcentral